This 24-nucleotide non-coding RNA is filed under the name Arabidopsis thaliana (thale cress). The record is from RNAcentral. Lineage: Eukaryota; Viridiplantae; Streptophyta; Magnoliopsida; Brassicales; Brassicaceae.
CUAUUAUCUGACAGAAGACUCUCC